UAAUACGUAGGGGGCGAGCGUUGUCCGGAUUUACUGGGCGUAAAGCGCGUGUAGGCGGCUGUUUAAGUUGGGUGUGAAAGCCCGGGGCUCAACCCCGGGACGCCGCCCAAGACUGGACGGCUUGAGGACGGAAGAGGGGCGUGGAAUUCCUGGUGUAGCGGUGAAAUGCGUAGAGAUCAGGAGGAACACCCGUGGCGAAGGCGGCGCCCUGGUCCGUUACUGACGCUGAGACGCGAAAGCGCGGGGAGCGAACGGGAUUAGAUACCCCGGUAGUCCGCGCCGUAAACGAUGGUCACUAGGUGUGCGCGGUAUCGACCCCGCGUGUGCCGUCGCUAACGCAUUAAGUGACCCGCCUGGGGAGUACGGCCGCAAGGUUG
Molecule: ribosomal RNA, 377 nt
Filed under: uncultured bacterium
Lineage: Bacteria
Description: bacterial SSU rRNA
Rfam family: Bacterial small subunit ribosomal RNA
Source: RNAcentral